Molecule: long non-coding RNA, 621 nt
Filed under: Triticum aestivum (bread wheat)
Lineage: Eukaryota; Viridiplantae; Streptophyta; Magnoliopsida; Poales; Poaceae
Description: long non-coding RNA (TAES_LNC010405)
Source: RNAcentral
CUCCGUAGUUACUUGUCGUCGCUGCUAAAAAACUUAUGUUGUUGCCAGUUGGCCUGCUCCUUGCUAUCUGAAGUAUAUAUUUUUUGUCUAUCGCUCAUUCACUAUCUGAAGAAUUUUAUGAAGGUAAUUUUAGUGUGUGUUUAGCUUUCAGUUUUUGCUUCUACUUCACAGAGUGGAAGAUCGUAAGAAAACAUUGGAUGAUCUUUAACAAUUAUUCUUAGAAGUAAACCUGAGCAGUAUUUGAUUAUAUAUUGUGAGUCACUGAAAUGUAUAGUGUUUUUUCUUCAGGAUAUGGAUGACUAUCUGAAGGGAUGCAGGUUUCUUCCUAAACUUAAGAAUGAGAUACCUGGUGAAACAAAUGCUCCCUAGUCCCUACAGGGAAUGGUUGAGCAGCCUAGAGAAUUUAGUACUGAUCAUGGUAAGGCCGACAAAGCCUGAAAUCUCAUUUUGAUCCACGUUCAAAGAUUACAUGCUAGCAUAUAUACUUGAAGUUGGCAUGGAAUAUCAAAAUUAAAAAUAGACUUCGCCUAUUCCCUGUUUUGAAGAGCAGUGGGAAUCAAUUUUCUGAUGUCCUUUGUUGGCGAUUUCCCUAUCCAUGAAAUGAUAAAUUUUGAACAGAUG